Molecule: long non-coding RNA, 1339 nt
Organism: Triticum dicoccoides
Lineage: Eukaryota; Viridiplantae; Streptophyta; Magnoliopsida; Poales; Poaceae
Exons: 5
Source: RefSeq, a predicted model, not a curated record
UGCUUAGUUUCCAAGUUUAUCUCAAAACUUCACCUUCUAUGAAUGCCCCCAGGUGGUGCAUAUCUAAAAGCUCUUUGUGCAUUCUUAAGAUUUUUGUAUAUGCAUUUGCGUGAAUUGAGCCCGGAUCUGAUCUGGUUUGGCUAUGUUCAUGGUUUUCUUUGGUCAUGUAUGAGUGGAAAAGGGAGGCAGGGGAGUUCCAGUUUGUGAGGACAGUGGUGACAUGGUUGACUGAAUGGCAAUAGGAAGAAGGCACAUCUCACAUAAUUGUUUUAUUCAAGACAAGUCUACACUCUCUUAUGUCAAAUUUGCACAGAUUUCCCUGCCCUAGGCUAUUUCUAAGGGGGAGAGAAGAGUGUUAUUUUUUUUGGGGAUUACAAAGAAUGGUAGCGCAUGAGGAGUAUUAGCCACGGAGGAGGGAGGAGACUGACAUGAGGAAAACAUAUUCUGGAUCGAUUUGGUUCUCAUGGUUUGGUACUAAUUUCUCAAAAAAUCAUGCUUUUGCAGCACCGUCCUGUUGAGCCAUGAGAUCUGAACCAAGGAAUCCAGAUAACAUCGACUAUGUUUAUAGAUCACUACAUGUUCCGUUGGAACAUUGUGAGGUCCUUUUUCCAGUUUGCUACUAAAUUCUCAAAAAAGAAACGUUCUUAUGCAUCACCAUCAUGUGGAACCACGAUACCUGAACCAAUGAACUCAGUGAACAUUUAUUAUAUUUAUUAUGGAUCAUUACAUGUUCUGCUGGAACAAGGUUCCUUUUCAGUAACAAGUUGAACGCGCGUCAUGCUUUUUUGAAUAUAACUGAAUAUCUAAAAUAGCCAUGGUGUACUGCUGUAUAUAUUUUAAAAUGGCAAGCUUGCAUCUUGAUGUUUGAUUGCUAUGAACUUCCGUAUUAUAAAAUUACUAUAGAUUUCCUUUAAUUCUCCAAAAAGGACAAUUUGUUUGUUUGUUACGGUGCCAAUAGUAACAAAAGAUCAUGAUGAAGUUGAGUAUGUAGAAAUACUUUUUAAGGCGCCUCAUUAUUUGCUGCCAAUGACUGUUUUGCCCCAAUCUCUGGCUUUCCAAACAUAGCAUUGCUAUGCCUCCAACAUUCAUCGAUUGUCAAUUAUUCUCUUAUACAUGACAUUGAUGCCCUGUGUUUGGGUAAUAUGUAUAGAAUUAGUUCCGUUCUACAAGGACCGGAUAUUGUCACAUUGAUUAAGUAUAAUUUUUUCAAGCAUGCUAGAGUAUGGUGGCAUUUUAUAGGCCCUUGAGCUAUAAAAUUUUGUAUGCUCAGUUUCUUGAUCUGUAUUUGCCAUUUGAGCCAAAUUAUCUCAUCAGGGACGCAUCAACAUACAAACUCACC